Long non-coding RNA from Ictalurus punctatus (channel catfish), 443 nucleotides. Lineage: Eukaryota; Metazoa; Chordata; Actinopteri; Siluriformes; Ictaluridae. The record is from Ensembl.
CUUCGGACACGUGCGCUGUGUGUUUACAAGUGCGCGGGCCGGUCACCGCGAGCUGCCAGCCAAUCAGCGCGCGCGCUGUCCAAAAGGCUUUACGCAAUAGGUCGGUCGUGGCGUGGGGGCGGAAACCCGGCGGCAGCGCUCACGCGGACCUGUGGCUCGGUACAACAAGCGUGUGUAACACCGACGUGGAGAUGAGAGACAGUAGGAACUUGUCAUCUUCGCUGAGAAACAGUUCCUGUCUGCAUGCAGCGCUUUGUUUUUACCGGUGUACGAAAGAUGUUCAUAGAGAGAGUAUGCAGUAGGACUGUCAUGCCUUUUUUUUUUUAAGGUCCACCUUAUUUCGCCAAAACAGCUCUGACCCUUUGAGGUAUGGACUCCACAAGACCUCUGAGGGUGUACUGUGGUAUCUGGCACCAAGAUGUUAGCAGCAGAUCCUUUAAAUC